GACGAACGCUGGCGGCGUGCUUAACACAUGCAAGUCGAACGGAAGGGCCCUGCUUUUGUGGGGUGCUCGAGUGGCGAACGGGUGAGUAACACGUGAGUAACCUGCCCUUGACUUUGGGAUAACUUCAGGAAACUGGGGCUAAUACCGGAUAGGAGCUCCUGCUGCAUGUUGGGGGUUGGAAAGUUUCGGCGGUUGGGGAUGGACUCGCGGCUUAUCAGCUGGUUGGUGGGGUAGUGGCUUACCAAGGCUUUGACGGGUAGCCGGCCUGAGAGGGUGACCGGCCACAUUGGGACUGAGAUACGGCGCAGACUCCUACGGGAGGCAGCAGUGGGGAAUAUUGCACAAUGGGCGGAAGCCUGAUGCAGCAACGCCGCGUGCGGGAUGACGGCCUUCGGGUUGUAAACCGCUUUCGCCUGUGACGAAGCGUGAGUGACGGUAAUGGGUAAAGAAGCACCGGCUAACUACGUG
RNAcentral lists this ribosomal RNA (468 nucleotides) under uncultured bacterium. Its description in RNAcentral is "partial 16S ribosomal RNA". It matches the Rfam family "Bacterial small subunit ribosomal RNA", at positions 28 to 507 of the family's 1533-position model. The record is from RNAcentral.